GGUGGAGCUCCAGCUCCAGUUAAUUGAAGCAGGAAGCGCUCUCAGGAUAACUUUCUAUUUUCUUUCAAGGUCAGCACCAAGACACCGAGGAGUUUAUCCUGUUUUCUACCACAGAGAAAAUAAUCCAAGCAGCGGGAAACUCCUAAAAGGUUGGAACCAAAGAAUCAAAGCGGAGCCUCGUUUUUACCAGAGGAAGCAGAGUUUGGACGUUUUCUCCGCGUAUUUCUGGGCGUAAGCAGCUCAAUGAAGGAUGAAAAAAUUUAUAAUUUUCCCUUUGGUUCUGGUGCUGACCGGGGUUCUGUGUUCUCCUGCACAGGGAGGAACUCUGCUCCAAGUAAACAACACUCAGGACGUCUAUCAGAAAGAGGAACACUCCAACGUCACACUGCCACUGUCUGCAUUUAACACAACCUCUGACUUCCUGUACAUUGAGCUGAGGAGAGUGGAGACACGGGGGACUAUUUAUGUGUAUGACAGCAGGUCUCAGCAUGUCCCGUCCGUGGAUGAUCUGUUCAGAGGUCGACUGAAGUGUGAUCCUCAGCUGAACAGGAGCGGACAGAUCAAAUGUGUCCUGACUGACCUGAGGAUCAACGACACAGGAAGUUAUCAGGGAAUCGUUAAAGAUGGUGGACCAGGUUACCUUAAAAAAUGGGAGCUAAAAGUCAAAGGUGAGCUGAAACGACUGAGGCAUAUUAGGCCUGCAAACAUCACCGAUGACCUAUGAUUUAACUAUUAAACAGGAUGUUAUAUUGUUGUUAUUUUCACCUGCUGUUAAAAGACAUCACGUUUAGAAAAUUAUUUUGUUCUUUAAUAUUGAGUGUGCUUUUUGGAACAUAAGCUGAUGCUAGCGGCCACAAAAUACAGUUUCAGUCAAAAUUAAUUAAAGCCAUAGUUGGUAAUCCUGUUCAG
Long non-coding RNA from Fundulus heteroclitus (mummichog), 909 nucleotides. RefSeq lists it as uncharacterized. The record is from RefSeq and is a predicted model, not a curated record. The transcript is spliced from 3 exons. Lineage: Eukaryota; Metazoa; Chordata; Actinopteri; Cyprinodontiformes; Fundulidae.